GUACACUGUACACUGCAAAGUAAUCUCUUCGUGCAGAUUCCAAUUGUUUCGAUAGAAGUAAAAUAUUGUUAUUAUCCUAAAUCUCUUUAUGUAGGAAAUUUUAGAUAUCCCCAUGCAACCGAAAAUCGUAUUUUCCUUUUCACGAAAUAAUUGUGUUAAAAGAAGAUUUUUUGUUACUUAAAAUUCAUUUAAGACUCCCAUUCAAGCCAUUCAUGUGCAAUAUAUUUUUUACAAUGUCGGUUUCUGUUAGGAUAGAAAAUAUGUAAAAUGUAUGGUUUUGCCUUACUAUCGCUAUAAUUAAAAUUCUACGGUAUAUGCGAACAAAUUACAGCUAGUGUAUAAUUUAAAUUUCCAUAAUAAUUUAACGCGCAUAACGCCCUGAUAAUGUAUAAUUGUACCUGUAUAUAUAAAUCGUAAGUAGGUAAGUACAGAAUAAAGUAUACAAAAAUAUGUACGUUUCACAUGUUUGAUUAACAUGAUAUUGAUACUAUACAUUUUUCAGAAUAAAACGAUACCAUGUACUUAAAAAUUAAAAUUUCGAAUUGAUUAGUUUAUUAUUGGUAAAUAUGAAUAUAUCACCCUAUACAUUAUUCCUUCAAGAUAUGGAAAAUGUAUUAGUGCAAUAUGUAAACACGAAUUAAAAUCUCAAAAAAAUCUCAAAGAAGAAUAAUUGUUAUUAGGCCACAGAUUGUUACGCAGAGAUUCAUUGUAUUCGCUAAAUAUCAUAACCAAUACUAUAGUUUGCGUAUUUUAUAUACUUUUGCGUAUUAUAAGUAUACAUUUUAUGCAUUUUUGCAUCUUUAAUUUUGUUCAUAAAUGCGUAAAAGUCCACAAUCUACAUAAACGAAUUAUUAUAAAUCAUAACGUUAUGAAUACUUCAGUUGCGUCAAACUUUUGGAAACCAUGGGAUUUACGUGGAGAAAGAAACAGAGAAAAAAAGAACUAAAAUUCUUGAAAUUGCCUUUCGCAACCUAAAAAACGAAGUUCGGUGACGUAAAUUGCAUUCACGCAACGUUGGGAUAAUACUAGCUCUCUUAAUGGGUUAAUAGUAAGGAACAACGAACCAUUCUUUCUCGAACAUCAAAAAACGACGAUCGGCGUUCGAAGCUUUUAUUCUGAAGGGCCGAGAAAUUUUUUCCUUUGUGUUAUUAUCAUCGUUCUACCUUUAGCUACAGAUUAGUUACAUUUAAAUAAAUUACAGAGCACAGAAGUCUCCAUGCACGCUAUUACUCGCAAAUGACAUUCGUGCACGCGAAAGUUAGAAUCUAAUUGACGAAAAAUGGUCGUUCAUCUUCGAAGAAACGAAUUAGGAAAAAUUGAUCGCGUGUAAAGAAGAAACCGAAGAAUGUGAAAUCAAAGAAUGUCAUAAUAACGAGCUAGAUCUUAAAACGAGCAGCAAGUCGGACUUGUUUCUAGCACGAUGCUAGAACAAUGUUCGUAGAAACAAUCAUCUACGCUACAAACAACUAUACAACUUCUGUCGAAGAAUUGAAAUAGGUGAAACACCUUGUUAAUUAAUGUAGAGGAUUGGCGGGGAAUGAUACUGUUACGCUGGUGAGAUAAUGCAACGCGUGAUGAGUUAUUAGUUUUCGAUUCUAAAGUAGAAAGUGCAAAAGUGGAAAUUAUGGAUUAUUAACGCAGAUAAAUCAAUUAGUAGGAAAUUAAAAAUAAAGGAAACUGGAUGGAAAUAUGUACGUACUGAUAUAAUAAUCCUGGAAGGAUGCUGAUAGAGUUUAUUAGAUGGUUUGAAGAUACUACAAUUUUUAUUUCUACUGAUAAUUCAUCACGACUCUAUUAAAUGUAUAGCCAGCGUUAAUUCUACACGACUAAUGAAGAAAUUAAUGCGAGAAAACACGAGAAGAGAAUAUCUGCAGAUAAAAUGACUAAUUUCCAAUAAGGCCCUAGCUUAACAAGUCAUGAUGCAACGACAAACAUGUACGUAACUAUGAAGCAAUCGGGAGAAAGAUAAGACGAGUUCUUCAACUUAUUUCAAACAUUAUUCAAACCGGUGAGUCUCGUGUAAUCUGCAUAAAUCGUACUAUCAGUCAGUUCUUCAGCUUUCGCCAUCUUCUUCGCAUCUUCUUCGUCGAUCUACAUUGCGAAAUGGAACCGGUACAUAUACGUUACUCUGUAUGCGUACUAUCUAUACAUUAUGUAUGUGUGUACGCCUCUGUUCAGUGUGUUUGUUCAUCCUUCCUCUUCAAUCGCGUCCAAAGUAAUGCGACAAACGUAUUUACGAAACGCACUCGACACAUCUAUGCAAAUGAUUUUAACACUUUGUCGGCCUAACGAUUGUAUCUUUUAAAUUUAUCAAAAUUUUAAAAUAUAUUAAGAAAGCUUUAAUUGAGAUAUUGAACUACACAAUAUUUUCCUGAAUAUGAAUAAAAAUUUUGUUAACCACGUUUUAAAUUUUAACAUAUCAUCUGCAGGAUUGUUACAGACAAAAUGAUGUCAAUUUUCCUAAUCAUCUGCCCAGUUUUAAGCUACUGUAUACGACGUAUUGAUAAAUCCAAGUUUUGAAAAAAAGAAAGAUAUGAAAAGGAUACUUCCUAUGUUUCUCAAUAAGUUAUAGCACAGUGACUGGAUAAAAGAAGGAUGCAGACUCAGGUCUUGGCCGAUCAGAAUUUAAUCGAUCUGGCCUUUCCGUCUCUUAACCGCUUUUUAUAAUAUUUUUAAGUUUUUGUAUCCUGCCCCGGCUGAUCUAUAUGUACAUUACGCGUCAGAUUGAACUACUUUCUUAUUGCUAAAACUUUUUAAGAAAGAAAUUUUUUCCCUGCACACUCCUGACUUUUAUAAAUUACGGUAAAAUGACUAGACUGAAAUGAAAAUGAAUAUGGUAAUAUGCAAUAUCGAAUAGUUCCAGACUUCAACGAAUCUAAAGCGUAAUAUUUCACUAAUUAUGUUUUUAUCAGACAAGCUAUUUUGCAACUGUCUAUGAGAAACUGAAGAGAUAUUGGUGUUGCAUUUCGCGAAUCUGUUACAUCUACAUCUGUUACGUUUACGAACAUAAAUAGGAAACUGUAAUAUCGUAGUCGAAACGAAAUUUUAAUACACGAUAAAAACGACGGGACAUACCGAUUCAUGUUCUGAUUAAAGCUUUUCUCGUUAACAUGAAACUUCAAUUAGUAUUCUACAUGAAACAAACAUGAAAUAUUCCGAAAUAUUAUUUGCGAAAAUUCUAAUGUAAAUUUUCUUAAUGGAAUCACACGUUUUAUUAUAUAUUUCAAGAUCAUUUCACCGAUGUGUAUAAUUUGAGCAAAAAUUUGUCGAAUACUUUUAAAUGGCUUGCAAAUAUCAACGAAUCCUGUAUAAGUAACAAUUCGAAGGAAAAGAUCUAAAUAUUUUAUUAAGCUUCUUUUAUAUAAAAUAUUUCUUCGCAUUUUUAUUAAUUAGCGAAAUGAUACUGUGUAUAUAAUUAAACUGGAUAUACUGUCUAUAACACAACAGGAGGACAAGGAUAGAAGUAGAAAGUUCACGCAUCCUGAGUAACGCCAUGAAUCGUAUCAGCAUUUAUUUAACGCGUUAUAGUAUAACAAUUAAAUACGUCGAAUACACUGGGUUCACGAAUAACGAUACGUGCAUGCUUCGGCGAUUUUGUUGUUUAUCGAAAAUUGCGCUCACGAUGUCCCGCCUCGCGUACUUGUAGUUCGACCAUACUUCGUUUGUCCCUUUUCUCGAUCUAUCGAAAGCAAAUCGUAAAAGUUUGAAUUUCACGAUACACGCGCAACGCCCGUUUCAUUUAUAGAUCGUUAGAUAAAUAACUACAAUGGUCAGAUUGAUCGAUAUAAGUAAAUAAAUCUCGAUAAACUGGAUACAAUACGGUCUCUGGCUAUCGUCUCUCUUCCUCUCUUUCUUCUUCUAGUGUGUUGUUUCAUUCCUCUGCCACGCUACUCCUGGUGGCUAUCGUUCCAGACACUUUUACACGAUACCUUGCAAGCUGUAAAAACAAAAGUGUCACCGGCCACGAUGUUAUAAAAUUCUCGUUAUGUUCAUCCACUCGUACACGCUGUCGUUUACAUCCACGUAAACACUGUGAAGGGAAGAGGGAGAAAGGAUGAACGAGGAAAAAUGUGGAUGACAUUAUGCUUUGAAAUUGGCACUCGGUCGUCAUAUUACGCCCCGUUAUAAUCUCCGCUUCCGGAAUGAUUUAAUACAUAGUAUAAGACCAUGAUAGUAAGCCACGUUAUUUGCUUUUUAUUUUUCCUUCGUUGGCUUCUUGUAUGUUUUUCACAGUAGAACCGUGAAUAAAGCCAUUUUCACUGCUCUUGCAGUUUUCUUCUUUUAGUAUUUCCCGCUCUCCUUAGUGAAUACUUAAUUAUCGAACUGUGAAUUUGUAUGGAAAUUCAUGCUUUUGAGAAUGUUGAGUUAAGUAAUUAGGACCUCGAUGGAAAAUUGUUUCACCUAUCAAAUAUUAUAGAAAGCAGUAUAUUUUGAAUAUUUCAUGUAUUCUUUCAUAUUAUGUGCAUUCUGUGCAAUUUUGCAUUUACAAUUAUAUUAAAUUAUUAUCACUUUGUAACUGUAUUGAAGGUAUACAUUGUCGCCAACCCUUCCGCUACGGAAAUAAUUAUAUAUCCACUCGAUACAAAAUCUUCGUAUGUACAUGCGAUAAGACUCUAAUUAAUAGGUUGUCGAUACUAAAAUCGAUCGAGUAACAUUAAAAAUAUAAAUAUUUACAAAGAUAAAUAACAUUUCAGUAAUAAUGUGCUGCUUGAACCAUACUAGAUUCGUAUUCGCAGAAUAUGAUUAUUCUAAACGCAAUACAAAUAAAGAUCACAGGAGAAAAUUUUAUGAGUCAACCUCUAUUGAUUUGUCUGACAUUAAUGCCAUUUUAUAUUCAAAUGGAAAUACUUUAAUGCGACGUAAUUAUAAUUGAAAAGAAAAAAUCACAUCUAAUACAAAGAAAACUAUCUUCUAAAAAUAUUCGAUACACCUAUAGUGACCAAAAAACUAAAUUUAGCAUAAAAAUUAAACAAAAUUUUUUGGUAACAUAGAAUUAGUUGAACAAGUAUUAAAUAUGAAAGUCACUCUCUUUUAAAAUAAAAAAAAAGAUGCGAUUUAUGUCGAUCUUCUUUUGUAUUCUUCAAACGUAUAUUUUCGUCAAUUUAGUAACAUUCGUUUGAUACAAUUGCGCUACUAGGAACAUUAAUGUGUGUGGUCGAAAUCUUCGAGCCGAAUUUCUUUGAAUUAUCAAAUUUAUUUGCCCUUUAAUUUCAAGUUAAAAGCGAACGAUCCCUUGUUAAUUUAUUAUACAUAGUUAAAACAUAGUACAAUAAAAAUAAGUAUGAUUAAGAUUAAAAAGAAAAAAAGGAUAUGGUGGCAAUAGACACGCCACGAGGUCAACGUACUUACAUACGUACAAAAACGUACCUGUAUCACUUUGUGCAAAUUAUCAGCACUUUUCGGGAAAAAUAGAAAUCUGUUUAAUAACUCUCAUAAUUGAAGUGACAUAGAGCGUAUCUAGAUUUGAUUGAACCUUACAAAAAUAAUGUAUGUCUGAGAUAUACGCGUAUUUCGAGGGGAAAAUGUACGCUAUCAUUGCACAUUUCAUCACAUUUCACAAGAGAAAAUAGUAUAAGCAGGCGCACUGCAUGCUCCUUUAUGACGACUAUUAAAUGGAGCCUUUGAAAUUUGUUCUAUAAACAGUACUCAGUCAAUUAGGAAUUAAAUACGAUACGGAACGUCCGGGAACUUGUCUAGUAUUUGUUUCAAGAAAUAAUAUUUCCGCAAAAAAUGAUUGUUACCACCUCUGAAUAACCGCGAUUGUUUUUAAAAUCGCGCAUCAAAUGUAAGUACAUUCUAGAGGAUUUCAUUACACCGAAAGAUUUGAAAUUUUAUUAGAGUUUAAACGAUUUAUGACAAAAUUAAGCUAAACUGUUUUCUUAUACAUAUAGAGAAAGUUGUUCAUGAUAACGUGAAAGAUAAUCGAACACUUUAUAACAAAUAAAUAUGUUGAUCUUAUGAUGAUGAUUGCAAGGAAAGAUAGGUUGACUUGCUCCUCGAUAAAGAAAUCUUAGAAAUUCGUUUUUCUAGUCUUGGAUCAAGAUUACGAAAAUCUAGUAGCUGAUAUAUUCACUCACUCACUAUCUUGACAGCGUAAAAUCAUUAAGAAUAUAUGUAAAUGAUUUUUUGAAGGAGAGUAACACGUCGAUUUAUUUGCGACUUUAGAUAUCGAUUCAGACUUUGAAAAUUCAUCAAUCGUCAAAAUUUUGGACAAUGAUAACAAUUAUAUGAAUUGUACAUGCAAUCAAGAGAUAAUCGAUAUUGGCAAAUUCUAAUCGUUUUAACCAUAGCCUAAUAUAAUGAAUUUACUAGAAGUAACAUUGCUUUUAAGAAAAAUCAAGCUGACUUAUAUUUAUACUGUAAGAAUUAAAUUAUAAUAAAAUAUGAAGAUCGAGCUAUUUUAAUGAAAGAAUAACUAAAAAUCGUCGAUGAAACGAAUUACAGAAAUAUGGUAAACACAGAAACAAAAAGAUAUGUAUUAAGGGAUCUUGGUCACUUUAAUUAAAUAGCCUAUUUACAAAAAACUGAAACAAUCCACCUUACUUGACAAAAGAAAAAUUAAAGGAAAGCACGCUUUACAUAUUAAAACGAAACUCAAGUCAAUGUUCGCUGAGUUUUCUCUUAUCCUGUAUAACGAGGUCAAGUUUAUUCCUUAAUAAACUAAAUAUUUCCGAAGAGAAAAUUUUUUACACUCUCAUUAUAUAUUAUAUAUAAUGUAUUUCUUAUAGUAAUAUAGUAUUAAAUAGUAUUCUAUAUAGUAUUAAAUAAUAUUCCUUUGUAACGUAUAUUUUUUCCAUUAGAUCAUCGUAUCUUCACAUUGAGUCUGCAGCUCCCGCCUUUCCCUCACGCUAUAAUAUACGUAACACUAUCUGGACGCUUCUCCGUGCAUACCAUAGUAAUUUUUGCUCAUCGAUAACACGUAAAAUUUUAUUACCGAAGGCGUGAACGUAAAGCAUAUUUCUGUUUAAGGGAGCGCACUCCAGCGAAUUUCUUUCUCUCUUCAAUAUCUUUCAAUUUUCUUUCAACAUCUGGAACCGCGCCGAUGUCAAAAGUUUUCCAUUGAAGUUGAGGGUUUUAGGCAACGAGCUAUCUGAAGCACGAAAUUACUGGGCAUUAAUUCGUUUCCCUCCGUGUUCCGAUCGUUUAUGCUAAACAUUACUGGGCUCGGAUGUGCACGAAACAUCUGACAUAUCAUUAGAGAAAAGAAGCAUUAAGACGACAAAACAGCAGGGUGUAUGAAUCGCAAGGUGUAUCGUGUCGUACCUGCGACUCCACCUUUAUUCAGAAACCAAUACGAAUGCCUCGAGGUGGUAUUUUCAAUGAUACAUGCCAAAUCAAAUUGACACUUAGAACGUUCCAUAGCUCAUCGCAUAACUUUCCAUAUGACAGUAACUACUCGAACAGAAUGGAUUUGGAAACGUGUGUUAUACAUGCAUAUUUUCUUGAUUGAACUUCAGAAUGAAUAUAUUACAACGCCAACCUGCAUCUUGCGUUGUAUCUGUAAUUUCUAUUUACAAACAUUUUUUACAAUAGAAUUAAUUUAUGUCGACGACUGGGGAAACCAUACUAAUUAAUUAUUUUAUUCAUAAAUUAUGAGAAUGAUAUUUUCAAUAGUUUCAUUAACGCAGAAACAAUGUCACGAAAAAUCGUAACAAGUAAAUAUAAAUAAUCACAAUUCUUAAAUAAUAAAGAAAUGCCUAAGAAUUUUGAAAGUUUUGAAAUUAUAUUGUGAAUUAAUUUUUUUUAUAGAAGAUUAAUACUAAUAUCAUAUAUGUAAAAUUGUUCCUUAUCGAUUUUUCCUUUAUAACAAAAUUAUUUUUAUUCCGAUAACAUAUACUACUUAUUUUAGGUAGAUAUUACACUUGUAUGGUUCUAAAUUAAUAUGGGAAAGCUUCUAACGAGCAAUAAAUUUUCGACUAAUAACGCAACGUUUCAGUCACGAAAUCAAAUUUACGAACCUCGAGUGCACAAUUGAAAAGUUCCUGCAUAGAACUGUAUUUUUCGCAUAAACUUUCUAAAAAUUUACAUAAAUGUAUACCAGAUGUAAAAACUUAAGCUUCAUAUUGAAAAUCCUUUUCACAGCAAGUGCACAUUGAAUAAAAAACAGGAAAUAUUACCUAUACGAAAAACUUAAAAAAUUCAAUGUAAAAAUAAUUUUCUAGCAUACAAACUGAACCACCUCUGUAACAUUCGUAACGAUAUAAACAUUUUCACGCUUUAUCUAUAAAAUUCAAUGCUGUCACAAUAAUUUACAGAUUAAUAGAAUGUGUGGAUUAGAUAAUUAUUUCAAGGAUUUCAAAUCGGAUGAGAUUUAUUGUAGUCUCUAAAUUCAAUCUUCUAAACAGUCCUCUUUCUUAGUGGACUAUCCUGUAAAACAGAACCCGUCGUUCGUUAAAUUUAAAUCAUUCAGAAGUCUCGCAAAAGCCGAAUGAACACAAACAAAUAAUAAAGAAUGCUUACAAACCGAUCACAAAAUUCUCUGAAUACAUUUUGCACCUCAGCGACUUUCAUGUAUUGAUUUCUUUCUUUGAAAAAAAAAAAAACAAACAGAAAAGGAAAGAAAGAAAAAAUUGCGAAAUUAAGAUAUUUCCUCCGAUA
This is a long non-coding RNA of Bombus pyrosoma, 8598 nucleotides long. RefSeq lists it as uncharacterized. Lineage: Eukaryota; Metazoa; Arthropoda; Insecta; Hymenoptera; Apidae. The transcript is spliced from 2 exons. The record is from RefSeq and is a predicted model, not a curated record.